AUAGAGUAGGGCCUAGUGAAUGUAUUUCAAUUGACGGAUUUCCUUAUAUGAACUAAAAUCUUUGAAAAUGUUGCGUUUACACUUUUGUUCAGUGUAGUUACAUUUCAGACAAAGAACCAGGGUUGAACGGGAGACAAGUACCAUACAGAAGACACAGAAUUAGGUAAGGCCGAAAUCAAGAUCCGCUUGCAAUGAUCAACACGAUGACAUCUUGUUAUGAGAUAGCGACAACACAAAUGAACCAGUGCUGUAAGUGUAAGGCUAUGGCCUUAUUGCUUCACUAACAUCCUAUUAACAGUAGUAGUACACAGGUUUGACAUGAUUCAGAAUCUAAAUGUUUUAGAAUCCAACCGUCAUAUUUUACAGCAUACCCAUGUAUAUAGAUGCUUUUGGCCAUAUAUUUCUGGUAUGGGUGGUAAAAAAAAAACAUUUACAGUAAUCUUCCUCUUGCAUAUAUACAGAAAAAACUAUUGGAUUUCAGAACACAAAAAUGUGAUAAAUACAAUUUUAAAAAAGUGGCAACAAUAGAUUUUCACCAAUGUUUCACUGCCUUAUUAGGCAACAAUUGAAAAACAAAUAAUUCCUUGAUAGCCCUAAACCACAGUUACAAGCAUCUGGUUCCUAAUGGUAACAGACAGUGUGGACAGUAUUUGGCAUUAUUACCUGCCUAUAUGUUAUCCUUAGUGUUUGACUUGUUGGAUAAGAAUGAUUGUUCAAACAUCAAAAUAAAGCCAUGAUAUUCCAAAGUGCUAUACAGUACAACCGUAUUAGUUCUAUACAAUAUUGAUCAGAAUAAUAUUUGGAUUGAGAUGCUGAGUACUACUAAAGUCGUUUGACAUGAUAUGCCAGGUAGAAAGAACUACACAACGCAAAUUUAAAAAAAAAUUAUACAUUAUACACAAACACCAUCAUCAAAUUCAGCCACAAAAUGGUAGCUAUACCAGAAGCUUAAUGUCAUCCCUUUUAGUUUAACUCUGUUGGUCACACCACUGUGGGUGUUUACUGUGCGUUUUACCACAUAACACAAACCAAACAGGACAGAGGGAACAGUCCUACAAAGCUGUUCUGUGAGACAAACCUUUUUAAAACUCAGCCUAUAAAAGUUGUUCAUUUGUCUUAUGAACGUCCAACUUCAUAAAAAUAAAGACGACUCAAGUGAGUUGCAGCCAACUCAGUGACAGAGACAAAUAUAGCCCGAUAUCAGACAUGGUUUAAAACGUUCAACAACACAGAGACACACAGAAAGGGCACACAUAGACACACAUGCAGACAGAGACAUCAUGCAUCAUUUCUCAGACAGAACCACAGACACACAAUGAGAGACUGAGAAGAAUGCUGAGAGACCGAGACAAAUGCAGAGAUUUGACAGACAGAUUUCAGGACAGACAGAGAAGAUUACAGUAUAGCACCUCUUUCUGCCAGAGGUCAUGCAGCCACAUUAAAACAUGUCACAAACACUUGUAGCAUACAAAACAACUGGCACUCAGACUAUCAUGCCAACUUCUUGUCACUCAUUGUCAUGUCAAACAUGCUUGGCAAUAAGCAAUGGAGUUGGCAAGAGCACAAACAGCCUUGGGACCAGGCUAGCAUACAGUAAGUAUAUACACAUUAACCUCUAUGUAGUGUACCUGUGUGAUAGCAUAAUUGUUCCCUUGCCACUGAUACGUCAGUUGUCUUUCAGAAGAUAAAGCUGCCAACAAUGUAGUCUCCACUUUCUUUCAGACGGAUCAACUUGGAAUCCUUGAAUUGAAAGUACACAAAGAUAACCAACACGUGGAUCGACGUUUUUUUCAAUAAACGGUUCAUUAAAAUCUUUAUCUGUGAUUCAGAUUUCCUUGUGUGAGGGGCAGGUGUAAGGCCCGCCUCCUUAGUGCAUAGCUCAGAGUGGGAGGAGUCCACUCCUCCUCAUCCAAUAGGAGUGAGUCUUUGUUCUCAGUGUCAGUUCAGUUGCUUAAAUAGUCCAACUGACCACAGCGUCUGUUUUGUUCAGGAAAAAAACAGUCUCAUCCAAAACUAUAUGUAGCUAUGUCGCAAUACCAAAUAUAGGUAUGUCGCAAUACCAAAUAUAGGUAUGUCGCAAUACCAAAUAUAGGUAUGGCGCAAAAAAAAAGACCAGUGUAAAACAGCCUUGUACUCUUGUCAGUUUUACUUGGGUCAGUUAUGCUGUUUGUCGUGGCUUGUGCACAGCAGAUCUGU
Molecule: non-coding RNA, 2196 nt
Organism: Oncorhynchus mykiss (rainbow trout)
Lineage: Eukaryota; Metazoa; Chordata; Actinopteri; Salmoniformes; Salmonidae
Source: RefSeq, a predicted model, not a curated record